GCUGGGUGCAGUGGCGCACCCUGUUAUCCCAGCUCCGUGGGACACUGAGGCAGGAGGAUGGCUUGAGUCCAAGAGUUCUGGGCCAUAGUGCACUAUGUCCAUCAGGUGUCUGUUCACACUAAGUUUUGCAUCCAUAUGGUGCCCUCCUGGGAGCUGGGGGACCACCAGGUUGACUAAGGAGUGGUGAAUUAGCCCAGGUUGGAAUCUGAGCAGGUUAAAACUCCUGUGCUGAUCAGUAGUAAAACUGUGCCUGUGAAUAGCCACUGCACUCUGGCCUGGAUAACAUAGUGAGACCCUGUCUCUU
Non-coding RNA from Callithrix jacchus (white-tufted-ear marmoset), 304 nucleotides. Lineage: Eukaryota; Metazoa; Chordata; Mammalia; Primates; Cebidae. The record is from Rfam.